UAUCCCCUUAAAAGAGCAAAAAUAUAAUUAGACUUUCACCAUUGUUAUCACCAUCAUCACCAUACACCAUUCAUUCGCCACACAUGCACAUCUUGAUUUGACUUAUUGACUUGUUUCUCUGGAUCCGUGGUUUGACUAUGCAAUAAAUGUGUUGUAAGUAUGUAUUAGCUGUCUCCCACCUAUGAGCUCCAGAUAUCAAAACCUUAUUAGAGUAGGGUGAGAGAGAAGGCAAUAUCACUAUGCCUCAUACCACAAAUACUACAUACUUUGAGAGAAGGCAUAUAUCAUUACUGCCCUGGUAAGGAUCCAGAAAUACCACAAAAGAGAGAUUUGAGAGAGUCAUAUAAGGAAUCUCUGAGUUUUAUUUGAAAAUCUGCAAAAACUC
RNAcentral lists this long non-coding RNA (385 nucleotides) under Sorghum bicolor (sorghum). RNAcentral describes it as "long non-coding RNA (SBIC_LNC017659)". The record is from RNAcentral. Lineage: Eukaryota; Viridiplantae; Streptophyta; Magnoliopsida; Poales; Poaceae.